GCUCAGCUGAGGCUCUUUUAAGACCAUGAGACUCUUAAUCUCAGGGUUGUGGGUCCAAGCCCCAUGUUGGGCA
Molecule: non-coding RNA, 73 nt
Organism: Podarcis lilfordi (Lilford's wall lizard)
Lineage: Eukaryota; Metazoa; Chordata; Lepidosauria; Squamata; Lacertidae
Source: the annotation of a GenBank genome assembly